RNAcentral lists this ribosomal RNA (494 nucleotides) under uncultured bacterium. Its description in RNAcentral is "bacterial SSU rRNA". It matches the Rfam family "Bacterial small subunit ribosomal RNA", at positions 28 to 524 of the family's 1533-position model. The record is from RNAcentral.
GAUGAACGCUAGCGGGAGGCCUAACACAUGCAAGCCGAGCGGUAUAGAAUCUUCGGAUUUUAGAGAGCGGCGUACGGGUGCGGAACACGUGUGCAACCUACCUUUAUCUGGAGGAUAGCCUUUCGAAAGGAAGAUUAAUACUCCAUAAUAUAUUGAUUGGCAUCAAUUAAUAUUGAAAGCUCUGGCGGAUAGAGAUGGGCACGCGCAAGAUUAGUUAGUUGGUGAGGUAACGGCUCACCAAGACGAUGAUCUUUAGGGGGCCUGAGAGGUGAUCCCCACACUGGUACUGAGACACGGACCAGACUCCUACGGGAGGCAGCAGUGAGGAAUAUUGGACAAUGGGUGCAAGCCUGAUCCAGCCAUCCGCGUGAAGGGCGACUGCCCUAUGGGUUGUAAACUUCUUUUGUAUAGGGAUAAACCUCUCCUCGUGAGGAGAGCUGAAGGUACUAUACGAAUAAGCAACCGGCUAACUCCGUGCCAGCAGCCGCGGUAAU